This 467-nucleotide ribosomal RNA is filed under the name uncultured bacterium. RNAcentral describes it as "partial 16S ribosomal RNA". It matches the Rfam family "Bacterial small subunit ribosomal RNA", at positions 28 to 506 of the family's 1533-position model. The record is from RNAcentral.
GACGAACGCUGGCGGCGUGCUUAACACAUGCAAGUCGAACGGAAAGGCCCUGCUUUUGUGGGGUGCUCGAGUGGCGAACGGGUGAGUAACACGUGAGUAACCUGCCCUUGACUUUGGGAUAACUUCAGGAAACUGGGGCUAAUACCGGAUAGGAGCUCCUGCUGCAUGGUGGGGGUUGGAAAGUUUCGGCGGUUGGGGAUGGACUCGCGGCUUAUCAGCUUGUUGGUGGGGUAGUGGCUUACCAAGGCUUUGACGGGUAGCCGGCCUGAGAGGGUGACCGGCCACAUUGGGACUGAGAUACGGCCCAGACUCCUACGGGAGGCAGCAGUGGGGACUAUUGCACAAUGGGCGGAAGCCUGAUGCAGCAACGCCGCGUGCGGGAUGACGGCCUUCGGGUUGUAAACCGCUUUCGCCUGUGACGAAGCGUGAGUGACGGUAAUGGGUAAAGAAGCGCCGGCUAACUACGU